UAUAAAGCGUUGAAGAAGAGAAGUAGUCGAUUGUCUGCCUUUAGAGAGAGAAAUCCGUGGCUGAAAGAUUUCUUGGUAAGGAUUGUCGAAGGUAGCUUCUGAGCAACUGAAUUGAGAAGGUAUGAAGGUAGAUUCAGUCGGGUGAUUCCGAUAAAAAUUAUUAAGUGCCGGCAGUAUAUGCCGGAAUUAAGGUGGUACCGCGAAAUAACUCUUUCGUCCUUAAC
This 224-nucleotide non-coding RNA is filed under the name Geosporobacter ferrireducens. RNAcentral describes it as "T-box sequence". It matches the Rfam family "T-box leader". From Rfam's summary of the family: Uncharged tRNA acts as the effector for transcription antitermination of genes in the T-box leader family. The record is from RNAcentral. Lineage: Bacteria; Bacillati; Bacillota; Clostridia; Peptostreptococcales; Thermotaleaceae.